Molecule: ribosomal RNA, 505 nt
Filed under: uncultured bacterium
Lineage: Bacteria
Description: partial 16S ribosomal RNA
Rfam family: Bacterial small subunit ribosomal RNA
Source: RNAcentral
GACGAACGCUGGCGGCGUGCCUAAUACAUGCAAGUAGAACGCACAGUUUAUACCGUAGCUUGCUACACCAUAGACUGUGAGUUGCGAACGGGUGAGUAACGCGUAGGUAACCUGCCUGGUAGCGGGGGAUAACUAUUGGAAACGCUAGCUAAUACCGCAUAAUAUUAAUUAUUGCAUGAUAAUUAAUUGAAAGGUGCAAUUGCACCACUACCAGAUGGACCUGCGUUGUAUUAGCUAGUAGGUGAGGUAACGGCUCACCUAGGCGACGAUACAUAGCCGACCUCAGAGGGUGAUCGGCCACGCUGGGACUGGGACACGGCCCAGACUCCUACGGGAGGCAGCAGUAGGGAAUCUUCGGCAAUGGACGAAAGUCUGACCGAGCAACGCCGCGUGAGUGAAGAAGGUUUUCGGAUCGUAAAGCUCUGUUGUAAGAGAAGAACGGGUGUGAGAGUGGAAAGUUCACACUGUGACGGUAUCUUACCAGAAAGGGACGGCUAACUACGUG